This 343-nucleotide unclassified non-coding RNA is filed under the name soil metagenome. RNAcentral's name for it is "partial contains 5.8S ribosomal RNA, internal transcribed spacer 2, and large subunit ribosomal RNA". The stretch from base 3 to 119 matches the Rfam family "5.8S ribosomal RNA", at positions 38 to 154 of the family's 154-position model. The record is from RNAcentral.
GAGAAGAACGCAGCGAAAUGCGAUAAGUAAUGUGAAUUGCAGAAUUCAGUGAAUCAUCGAAUCUUUGAACGCACAUUGCGCCCGCCAGUAUUCUGGCGGGCAUGCCUGUUCGAGCGUCAUUUCAACCCUCAAGCCCCCGGGCUUGGUGUUGGGGAUCGGCGUGCCCUCGCGGCGCGCCGUCCCCUAAAUCUAGUGGCGGUCUCGCUGUAGCUUCCUCAGCGUAGUAGCAACACUCGCACUGGAUCGCAGCGCGGCCACGCCGUUAAACCCCCCACUUCUGAAAGUUUGACCUCGGAUCAGGUAGGAAUACCCGCUGAACUUAAGCAUAUCAAUAAGCGGAGGA